This 54-nucleotide transfer RNA is filed under the name Urocitellus parryii (Arctic ground squirrel). RNAcentral's name for it is "Spermophilus parryii (Arctic ground squirrel) tRNA". It matches the Rfam family "tRNA", at positions 9 to 63 of the family's 71-position model. Rfam says of the family: Transfer RNA (tRNA) molecules are approximately 80 nucleotides in length. Their secondary structure includes four short double-helical elements and three loops (D, anti-codon, and T loops). The record is from Rfam by way of RNAcentral. Lineage: Eukaryota; Metazoa; Chordata; Mammalia; Rodentia; Sciuridae. RNAcentral also lists the same sequence under 1 other name.
AGCUCAAUGGUAGAGCACAUGCCUAGCAUGCUCAAGCCUGGGUUCAAUUCCCAG